RNA transcript from Oncorhynchus kisutch (coho salmon), 3224 nucleotides. It is a transcript of the gene named cytochrome P450 1B1 pseudogene, with no coding region annotated. The transcript has a single exon. The record is from RefSeq and is a predicted model, not a curated record. Lineage: Eukaryota; Metazoa; Chordata; Actinopteri; Salmoniformes; Salmonidae.
UAAGGUCUUACAUCUUGCUGAAAAGUGUGACUAGAGAACAACUUCACCAUAACUCACCAAGCUUAAUCUGAGAUAAUUUCCCAAGAAGUACUGAGACUGUCACCAUGGUCUCAGCAGGACACUUUGGAGUUUAAACUAACUGAACUAGUUUUAUAUUAGAUGGAUUCAUUGAAAUUGAAUAUCACAAAAUCACUUUUGAAAAGUAAGCUGGGCUAAAACUGACUGAGAGUGCUGAAAAAAGUGGAACUUUUUUGUACUGUUUUUUUUCUAUUCACAAUAUCUGUCUCCAGGAAUAGGUAAUAAAUCCUCUAGAACCAUGGCACUGCUGGACACAGAGUUUGAGGUGAAGGGCAGCAGCAGCAUCAUCAGGGAGUGGAGUGGACAGGUCCAGCCAGCGCUGGUCGCCUCCUUGGUUUUCCUCUUCUGUCUUGAAGCCUGUCUGUGGGUCAGGAAUCUCAGACUCAAGAGAAGGCUGCCAGGACCUUUUGCCUGGCCGGUGGUGGGCAAUGCCAUGCAGCUGGGGCAGAUGCCUCAUAUCACCUUCUCCAAGCUGGCAAAGAAGUACGGCAACGUGUAUCAGAUAAGACUGGGCUGCAACAACAUAGUGGUGCUUAAUGGAGACACAGCAAUACGAGAAGCCUUGGUUCAGCACAGCACAGAGUUUGCAGGCAGACCUGACUUUGUGUCUUUUCGGAUGAUUUCAGGGGGCAGGAGCCUGACAUUCACUAACUACAGCAAACAGUGGAAAAUGCACCGGAGAAUUGCACAAUCUACCAUUAGAGCUUUCUCCUCCGCAAACAGCCAGACCAAGAAAGCAUUUGAGCAGCACGUUUUAGGAGAAUCUAUGGAUCUUGUGCAGGUAUUUCUGAGAAUGAGUGCUGAUGGACGAUAUUUUAAUCCCGCUCAUGAAUUUACAGUCGCUGCUGCAAAUGUAAUCUGUGCCCUGUGCUUUGGAAAACGUUAUGGCCAUGAUGAUAUUGAGUUUAGAACUCUCCUAGGCAAAAUGGACAAGUUUGGAGAGACGGUGGGGGCUGGCAGCUUGGUGGAUGUCAUGCCCUGGCUUCAGAAUUUCCCAAAUCCUGUCCGCAGCGUCUACCAGAAUUUCAAACACAUAAAUGAGGAGUUUUUUGCCUUUGUGAAAGACAAAGUGGUGCAGCACAGAGAAACCUUCAACCCUGAUGUGACCCGGGACAUGAGUGAUGCUAUCAUUAAUGUGAUUGAGCACGGAAAGGACAGUGGACUGACCAAAGACUUCACAGAAGGAACAGUCACAGACCUUAUUGGAGCCGGCCAAGACACAAUGUCAACCAUUUUACAAUGGAUUCUCCUGCUUUUGAUCAAAUACCCCAUCAUCCAAACCAAGCUGCAGGAGCAGAUUGACAAAGUGGUAGGCCGUGACAGGCUGCCCUGUAUUGAGGACAAAGCCAGCCUGGCUUACCUAGAUGCCGUUAUCUAUGAGACCAUGCGCUACACCAGCUUUGUACCCCUCACCAUCCCCCACUCCACCACCUCAGAUGUUACCAUCGAAGGCUUCCACAUCCCCAAAGACACAGUGGUCUUCAUCAACCAGUGGUCUGUCAACCACGACCCUUUACAGUGGAAGGACCCACAUCUCUUUGACCCUUCACGUUUCCUAGAUGAAAGCGGUGCCCUUGACAAGGACCGAACUAACAGCGUCAUGAUCUUCUCCACUGGUAAGAGGCGAUGUAUUGGCGACCAGAUUGCCAAAGUGGAAAUCUUUUUAUUUACAGCCAUCUUGCUUCACCAGUGUACCUUUGAGAGCAACCCCUCAGAGACCCUGACCCUUGGUUGUUCCUAUGGGCUCACACUGAAGCCUCUCCACUACACCAUCACAACCAAGCUCAGGGGGAAGCUGCUCGGUCUAGUGUCACCUGCAUAAAAAUCUCAUCCCAAUAUUGUGACUCAAGGCCAGCAGAAACUAUAAGUUUGCCAAGCAAUGAUAUUUUACAGUGAGUAUUAGUAAACAUGCACUGAAUGUUGUUGUUGAGUGUAAUAUUUCAUAUUUAAUAUUUAAUUCAUAUCUGAUCACAAUUUAAUAUGUUUGCAUUGUUGUUGAGACAGGAUUGAAAGUAUGAUUACAGUGAUGGAAAGUUUGCUAGGUAUAGCUUUUUCUCCUGUGUUGGGGGCCAGGGGUCAUGGGGUCAAUCAAUUUGAACAGGUUCUCAAACUAUGUACUUGAUAGUUUUCUUUAAGGAAGUAUACUUUUGUUUCAUAUACAUUUUGAGUUUUGGGCGUACUUCAUAUACAGUAUUCAGCAUGCUAACAUAUCAAAAUAUGUGCAGGAAACUAGAAUAUUCCUCAACAGUCAAUGGAAGGUUAUAUCAGUGUAAUAUGCCUGUGAGUGUUUGUGAAUGUUGUAGUCACACCUGAAGGACCACAGUUUGUUGCCUUGAGGACUUUGUGGAUGUCUGUUAUUAACAUGGUGAUGUUUCAAUGUAUUUAUCUUUUUCAGAUAAAGCUGUCACAAUUUUUUUUAUAUAUAUAUCUUUCAGGUAUGAACAAUAUUUGUUAAGUAUUAUAAUCAAAUUCACUAUCUACUGUACACCAUGCAUAUGAGCCCAUUGAAUACUGUUGACAGAUGCUGACGAACUGCUAAAGGAAAAGCAAGAUAUGUAUUUUCCAUAGCCUACCGUGUGAAGACAAUUCAGCGUUAACAGCACUGUUGCCUCUGUGCAACUUCACGCUCAGUGUCUCCAACAAUAUUUGGAGGUGUUUCAAUACAGAGGUGGGUUUCUACUGGAGUCUAGAAGUAUGGUACUGAUAAGGCUGAUGAACAGUUGGGAGAGGACCAAUUCUAAACACUGACCCUAUUGAUAUUCUCAGAAAUCUACUUUACUGAACAGGCACUCCAGCUACACAACCCAUCCCUUCAUAUCCAAACCAACUGUCACUAAAUACAAUAUUACUACACAAGUCAAUGGAGUUUCGAUGUAUUUUCAAAAAUGCAUGCAUGUUUAAACCUCAAGGCUCUGAAAUCUGUAGAUGUAAUGUCACCUUUGUCAAAGAACAUGUUUUCAGAAAUGUAUUAAAUAUUGUUCAGAAUAUCUGCCUCUCUCAAACCAAGAAACUCAACUACAACAUGUGUUGAAUGUCCAGGCAAGGAUUCAUGAAUGAAAAUAUGUUGUUUUGUUUGUUGGUUUGUUUGUUUUAUAUGAUUGAAAAAUAAGCUACAUCUGGAAUUAAUAAAGCAAUGUUUAAAUCAA